UCCCCUAAUACAGUCACCACUGAAACAGAAGUACGGUUGAAGUAGAUUAACACUGACCAACCCAGUGUCAUAAUCUCGAACCCUCAUUUGACCAGUUGUAAUAUAUGAAAGCUACUGUUCACAAAAUCUUCUAGAAAGUCCGUGAAUACUUUAAACUCGAUAGAAGUGGAUGCGGGUGCAGUAACAGAUUCAGGUGGGGACAUGAAGUUCUCUUUUAAGGUAGUGUUAUAAUGCUCUUACAGGAGCAACUCCAAAAGUUGCUCCCACCAACAAAUGAGAAAUUUAUCCUCAUGUGUUGCACUAGUUAGUUUGCAUCCAUGGGGUUUGUCAUUUGGUUAUAGUUUACAUUCAUGGGGUUCUUUCAUCAUUCAUGUAGAAUUAUA
RNAcentral lists this long non-coding RNA (383 nucleotides) under Phoenix dactylifera (date palm). RNAcentral's name for it is "long non-coding RNA (PDAC_LNC017806)". Lineage: Eukaryota; Viridiplantae; Streptophyta; Magnoliopsida; Arecales; Arecaceae. The record is from RNAcentral.